CUCUGGUUCAGGAAAUGAGUCAGGGCGGAAGGAG
Molecule: non-coding RNA, 34 nt
Filed under: Bacillus testis
Lineage: Bacteria; Bacillati; Bacillota; Bacilli; Caryophanales; Bacillaceae
Description: L31-Firmicutes ribosomal protein leader
Rfam family: L31-Firmicutes ribosomal protein leader
Source: RNAcentral